GAUGGUGUAUGCAAGCGGUCAACGCAAACUGACUUAAGAUCAGUUCCCUUUUGGGUUCGCGGGUUCAAAUCCCGUCGCCAUCA
RNAcentral lists this transfer RNA (83 nucleotides) under Acanthocystis turfacea Chlorella virus Can0610SP. RNAcentral's name for it is "tRNA-Leu". It matches the Rfam family "tRNA". From Rfam's summary of the family: Transfer RNA (tRNA) molecules are approximately 80 nucleotides in length. RNAcentral also lists the same sequence under 1 other name. Lineage: Varidnaviria; Bamfordvirae; Nucleocytoviricota; Megaviricetes; Algavirales; Phycodnaviridae. The record is from RNAcentral.